GGCGAACGGGUGAGUAACACGUGGGUAAUCUGCCCUGCACUCUGGGAUAAGCCUGGGAAACUGGGUCUAAUACUGGAUAUGACCUUUCUCCUUAUGAGGUUUGGUGGAAAGUUUUUCGGUGUAGGAUGAGCCCGCGGCCUAUCAGCUUGUUGGUGGGGUGAUGGCCUACCAAGGCGACGACGGGUAGCCGGCCUGAGAGGGUGAUCGGCCACAUUGGGACUGAGAUACGGCCCAG
This 235-nucleotide ribosomal RNA is filed under the name uncultured Actinomycetales bacterium. RNAcentral describes it as "partial 16S ribosomal RNA". It matches the Rfam family "Bacterial small subunit ribosomal RNA", at positions 97 to 334 of the family's 1533-position model. The record is from RNAcentral. Lineage: Bacteria; Bacillati; Actinomycetota; Actinomycetes; Actinomycetales.